Molecule: ribosomal RNA, 301 nt
Filed under: uncultured bacterium
Lineage: Bacteria
Description: partial 16S ribosomal RNA
Rfam family: Bacterial small subunit ribosomal RNA
Source: RNAcentral
CAGCCGCCACGGUAAUACGGAGGGUGCAAGCGUUAAUCGGAAUUACUGGGCGUAAAGCGCACGCAGGCGGUCUGACAAGUCAGAUGUGAAAUCCCCGGGCUUAACCUGGGAACUGCAUUUAAAACUGUCAGGCUGGAGUCUUGUAGAGGGGGGUAGAAUUCCAGGUGUAGCGGUGAAAUGCGUAGAGAUCUGGAGGAAUACCGGUGGCGAAGGCGGCCCCCUGGACAAAGACUGACGCUCAGGUGCGAAAGCGUGGGGAGCAAACAGGAUUAGAUACCCCCGUAGUCCUGCUCUUAUACAC